UCAAGCGUGAGGUAAGGGCAAUUCGUGGAUGCCUUGGCAUGUACAGGCGAUGAAGGACGUGGCACGCUGCGAUAAGCGUCGGUGAGGUGUGAGCAACCUUUGACCCGACGAUUUCCGAAUGGGGAAACCC
This 130-nucleotide ribosomal RNA is filed under the name cotton phyllosphere bacterium M. Its description in RNAcentral is "partial 23S ribosomal RNA". It matches the Rfam family "Bacterial large subunit ribosomal RNA", at positions 1 to 129 of the family's 2925-position model. The record is from RNAcentral.